This 9838-nucleotide long non-coding RNA is filed under the name Spirodela polyrhiza (greater duckweed). RNAcentral's name for it is "long non-coding RNA (SPOL_LNC001050)". The stretch from base 7493 to 7565 matches the Rfam family "Plant small nucleolar RNA R71". Lineage: Eukaryota; Viridiplantae; Streptophyta; Magnoliopsida; Alismatales; Araceae. The record is from RNAcentral.
CUCUCGCUGCCGUCGACCUUGCACCUAUAUAAGGAGCCUCCCGCCCUGCCACGACCAACCAGGCCGAGGCCCACAAGUUAGCCCUCUCUUCCCCCUAUCAGUCAGUUUUACUCUGUGCAGUGCCUUCCCCACUCCUGCCCCAUCGCCAACAGGCCUAGCUAGGUGGGACGGGUUAGGCCUCACCUUGGGUGCGAACCUUGACGGGCACACGUGCAAGACCUACUGUGUUGGUCGGCGAGCUUAGGUGGCAAAGUGAUGAGUUCAAUUUUUUUUCUACAGGUGUCUUUAGACCUUAAUCUCCUCAAUCAAAAAAUAUUAUCAGUUAUGUUUUAAUUGACUUGUGAUAUACUCGUAGAUAGUUGCAAGUCAGGUCGUCUCCACAAGGAAUUUCGAGGCUUACUAUUUAAUACUCAUUCUAAUGAAGGGAGGAGUGUAAAAGGAAAUGAGGUGAGUAUUGGAAAAGGGGAAGAAGAAGGAACUAGGAAUCCAAAUCAGAUUUCUCAUAUUUGGCCGACGUAAGAACAGUACUCAAUUGUUUAUUGAUUCUACUCCUAAAUAUCGAACUAAAAUCUAAUCUAAGCUAAAUAGAACACUUCUCCAUCUCGAAGCUAACCUGGUGUCACCACUUCUUCUUCUUUACUUCCGUCAGGAAGAGGCGUUCACUCGAAGCAGCAGGAGAGACCUCAUUCAGGCAAGAUGAAAAGUGCUCCGGCUUGACACACCUACAUUUGCACAAUGUGGAGCUCGAGAAACCCUAAACCCUCUGGGCUGACUAAAACGCCGAAGGCUUCCUCAUUCCCAAAAAGCUGUUCGUAACAUCCAUUUUUUCACAUGUAUAAGGCAGUCUUUCCCUCUCCUCUCUCGCUCUCCUCUCGCACUCUCCUCUUGCGUGCACACGAGAAGCUGCCCGAAGGUUCUGGUGGCUUCUUUCCUAUGAGGCCACACUUCGUUGGAUCGGUGGACUCUCUUCUCGUGAGCUCUCUCUUAAGCCGUCGAAUUUGAAGGGCAGUCUCCUCACUCCAACGAGUGGCGGUUGGGUGUUGUAUCAUAGCCGUUGAUGAAAUGGCUAUGUCCUUCAACAAUAAUGCCUAACUUGCCAAAAAUUGCUUAGAAAAAUCAUAAAAGCAUAUUCAAUGUCUAAAAUAAUCUGAUUAAUCAUGCACCCAAAUCUGUAAGAGGAGAUUGAUCUCAUAAAAUUUCUAAAAAACAUUUGAAUUAUGACUGUCCCAAAACAUGUUAAAAAUCAUCUUUAUUCCUAAAAAUAACACCUCAAUAAUAUCAUGGAGAUGUAAAAUUAACCAAGUUACGGUGUUUUCUAGCACAUUAUUCAUGUACUAUCACACCCCCCAACUUCUCUCAUUGCUAGUCCCUUAACAAUGGAUUAAGAAUGAUUGUGUUGCUAUGAUUUUGUUUCAUUCAUCUUUGUCAUUAUCUGCAUAAUCAUGAAUCUGCAUUUCACAAAAUUCAAAGAAAAACUAACUCAUUUCAUAGUUAGACAUCUAUAAUUCUUCAUUAGACAGAGAUUAGAACCUCCAUGCUUCCAUUUCUCACUAGUUUACUUUGUCUCAAGACUAGCUUUUGUUUUGUGAAUCCUUGUCAUGCUUGGCUGUUAUGCACAAAAAUUUGACUUGUAGCUCUUCUAAAUCUUUUUAUCCCAUGUAGGUAGCUUUUCCAUAGACAGCUUUUUUUUCUUUUUGUCCUAGUCUCACAUGUGGGAUCUCCACGGGACAAUUGGGAAGACCCUCUUUGCUGCGCAUGUCUUAUGGGCUUCACUCUGCAUAGUUGAGAAAACAUGUAUGUUGCAACCUUGCUGAUUCUAAUCUCACAUGUGGAAGCCCCACGGAAUCAGCAGAGGUGCUUCAUUAGCAUGUGGCAGGCAGCUUUUCUCCCACUUGAAAAGUAUGUAUCUACUUUCCUUCUUCUUCUUCCCUUUUUUUUUUUUUUUUGGGAGGCUUCGCUCUGCUCUCUUCUCUCUUUACUACAGUCAAGCGUCACAUUUUAAUGCAGCAAUGACCAAGGAUCAUAUUUCUGCUAGCUCUAACACAGUUCAACUAUGUUUUGAUUUGGUAAGAUGGGAUGCAAUUUACUGUGCUAAUUCCGAUAUAGAGAUAUGUCUCCAUGAAACUUUGUUAGUAAUCAAUGAAAUCUGAUCCAUACUAUGAUUCAUAAUCAUGACAAAAAAUUUCAAAGUUUCUGAUUUAAGAGAUAUGUUCUGAUUUAAGAGAGUUUUGAAAAGUAUAAAGAAAUAAUAGACUCGUGCAUUUCUUACCUUUAGCAUUGUAUCCAUCCACCCCCCAAAUAGAUUUAUGCAGUGUCCUCAACGCAUUUCAAAAGAGAAAGGAAUGAAAUGAGGAUUGCAGAUACAAAACCCAUGAGGAAGAUCCACUUCAGCUCAACAUAGUGAUGGAGGAAGAUCCACUUUAGCUGAACAUAGUGACUGAGUGAGAGGAAAAUGAAAUAAAACACUCAAAAGUAUUAAAUCAAAGAAACGAAAGCAAAUAACCAAAACGAAGUAAAAUGAGGUUAUCAAAGUAGUCAAUGGCCAUUAGGCAAUGGCUCUAGCUGCUGUAGACUAAAAGAGAUCAUGGCUGCUUGCUGCUCAUGCUCUAGAUAAGGCUUUAAGCGCUGCCCAUUCACUUUAAGUGUUUUGUUUGUUUUAGGAUCUGUUAUUAAAAUAGUUCUAGAGUUAAAACUUUGCACAACAAUGAAUGAACCAUCCCAACGAGAUUUGAGUUUACCUGGAAAUAAUUUUAAAUGAGAAUUAUACAACCAAACCUUCUAAUUUUGAUGAAAUGAUUUACGAUUGAUCUUCUUGUCAUGAAAUGCUUUAAGCUUGGCCUUGUAGAUAUUAGAAUUCUCGUAAGCUUCAUUUCGUAAUUCUUGUAAUUCCUACAGUUAAAGAACACGUCGCUUCCCUACAUGAUCUAGUGAAAGAUUAAGCUGUUUGAUUGCCCAAUAGGCUCGAUGCUCAAUUUAAACCGGUAAAUGACAUGCUUUGUCAUAAAUCAAGCGAAAAGGAGACAUGCCAAUGGGGUUUUUAAAUGCUGUUCUAUAAGCCCAAAGUGCGUCAAGAAGCUUCUCAACCCAAUCUUUACCAUCCGGACGUAUAAUUCUCUUCAAAAUCUUCUUGAUUUCUCUAUUGUUCAAUUCUACUUGUCCAUUAGCUUGCGGAUGAUAGGGCGUCGUCAUCCUGUGCUGUACUCCAUAUUUUUUUAGUAAAUUUCGAAAGUAAAGAUUGUUAAAGUGAGAUCCUCCAUCACUAAUGAUGGCACGAGGACAACCAAACCAAGAGAAUAUGUUCGGAACAAUAAAUUUUAAAAUAAUUUUGUGGUCAUUUGUUCUAGUAGGUAUGGCUUCUACUCAUUUUAAAACGUAGUCCACAGCCAAAAGAAUAUAUUCAUAGCCAUUAGAAGGAGGAAACGGACCCAUGAAAUCAAUUCCCCAUAAAUCAAAAAUUUCUACCUCUAGAAUCAGUUGGAGUGGCAUUGCAUCUCUCUUGGAGAUGUUUACAGCAGCUUGACAUGUUGUACAUGACCUGCAAAAAUUAUAAACAUCUCGAAAAAUAGUUGGCCAAUAGAAGACACUAUGAAUAACUUUUGCAGCUGUCUUUUUAGAAGCAAAAUGUCCCCCACAUGUAGAAGAGUGACACAUAGUUAAAAUAUUAAAUUGUUCCUCCUCUGGAACACAUCUGCGGAGGAUUUGAUCAACUCCAAGGUGAAAUAAUUUUGGUUCUUCCCAAAAGUAAUACUUCAGCUCACUAAAAAAUUUUCGUUUACUACUUGAAGACCAGUUAGGAGGUAAUUGCCAUGUUACCAAGUAAUUAACUAUGUGAGCAUACCAAGGUGUUUUACAUGCAUUAAUAGUAAGUAAAUGCUCAUCAGGAAAAUCAUCCAAUAUGGUCACAUUAAUAUGUAUGCGUAAUCUAGAUAGGUGAUCAGCCAUAGAAUUUUCACUUCCCUUUUUAUCCUUGAUAUCUAGAUCAAACUCUUGUAACAAUAAAACCCAUCUAAUUAAUCUAGGCUUGGCUUCCUUCUUUGUCAAUAAAAAUUUAAUGGCAGCAUGAUCAGUGUAAAUUGUAACCGUGCUGCCUAAAAGAUAAGAUCUAAAUUUUUCUAAAGCAAAAACAAUAGCCAACAAUUCUUUUUCAGUAGUUGUGUAAUUUAAUCGGGCAUCGGCAAGAGUCUUACUAGCAUAAUAGAUGGCGACUGGUUUCUUGUCAACUUGUUGACCCAAUACAGCUCUAACUGCAAAAUUAGAGGCAUCACACAUUAGCUCAAAGGGAAGGGUCCAAUUAGGACCUUGGAGGAUAGGAGCUUCGAUAAGAGCUUGUUUAAUUUUGAGGAAAGCUGAUUCCCCUGCAGCAUUUAUCACAAAAUUUUGCUCCUUAGCUAGGAGUUGGGUUAGCAGUUUAGCAAGAUCAGCAAAGCCUUCAAUAAAUCGUCAAUAAAAACCUGCAUGCCCUAGAAACGAGCGCAGCUGACGAAUAGAAGUUGGAAGGGGCAGAUUCUGUAUCACCUCAAUCUUUGCCUUAUCAACUUCUAAUCCACGCUCACUGACCAAGUGUCCUAGCACAACACCUUUAGUGACCAUGAAAUGGGAUUUUUCCCAAGUCAAAACCAACUUCUUCUCUACACAAAUCUGCAAAACUUUAGUUAAAUUGAUCAAGCAUUCAUCAAAAGUUUGACCAAAAACAUAAAAAUCAUCCAUAAAUAUCUCUAAACAGUCCCCCACUAAUGUGGAGAACAUGGCACUCAUACAUCGCUGGAAUGUGGCCGGCGCAUUGCACAGCCCAAAAGACAUUCUAGUGAAGGCAUACGUACCAAAGGGGCAGGUAAAUGUUGUCUUCUCUUGGUCAUCUGGACAUAUUGCAACUUGAUUAUACCCUGAGUAUCCAUCCAAAAAACAAAAAUAAUGUUGACCUACAAGACGUUUUAAAAUUUGAUCUAUAAAAGGUAAGGGAAAGUGGUCUUUCUUAGUGACCUGGUUUAAUUUUCUGUAGUUUAUACAAACCCUCUAACCAAUAGUUAGGGGGGUUUGAAUUUCCUCUCCCCUAUCAUUUACACAGACUGUAAUUCCUGAUUUCUUUGGAACGACAUGAAUUGAACUUACCCAUGGACUGUCGGAAAUGGCAUAAAUUAUUCCAGCAUCCAACCACUUCACUAUUUCAGCCUUGACUACCUCUAACAUUUUUGGAUUAAGUCUCCGCUGAACAUCUCUAAUUGGUUGUGCAUUUUUAUCAGUAAAGAUUCUAUGCAUACAUACCUCAGGACCAAUACCUUGAAUGUCUGAAAGAGUCCCUCCAAUAUCUGGCUUGUAUUUCUUGAGUGUGCUCACUAAUUUCUCCUCUUGCUCAGUAGUCAAGAGGGAGGAGAUAAUCACAGGAAGUGUCUCAUGCUGACCGAGAUAUAUAUACUUCAUGUGGGAAGGCAGCGGCUUCAAGAUUGAAGGAAAACUUGUUGGAGCUGUUGAGGCUUCUGCCAUAUCGGUGUCACUGGGUGACAGAAGCAUGUGACUUGUCUCUUUGUUGAAAAGUUCUUCUUCACNNNNNNNNNNNNNNNNNNNNNNNNNNNNNNNNNNNNNNNNNNNNNNNNNNNNNNNNNNNNNNNNNNNNNNNNNNNNNNNNNNNNNNNNNNNNNNNNNNNNNNNNNNNNNNNNNNNNNNNNNNNNNNNNNNNNNNNNNNNNNAAAUCUUCUGUUUGGUCAGGAUACUUUAGUAAUUUUGCAAUUUUUAACUCAACUUUUUCUUGCCCAAAUUUUAAGUCUACUGUUCCUUUACCCCAAUCUGUUGUGGCUUUGGCUGUGGCCAAAAAGGGACGUCCUAAAAUUAUUGGGGCAUGACUAAUAUUUUCUGUUAUCUUCAUAUCAGCAACUAUAAAGUCUACUGGAAAAUAACAACUUUCAAUCUUCACUAUAACAUCUUCUAAAACCCCAUAUGGUUGUCGGACUGAUCCAUCUGCUAGUUGUAACUCUACAAAUAGUGGCUGUAAAUCACCAAGUUUAUACAUGUCAUAUAGAGCUUUAGGCAAUAUAUUCACGCUUGCUCCUGAAUCAAGUAAAGAGUGGGUGAAAAUCAUACCUUGAAUUUCACAUUUGAUGAGAGGAGCUCCUGGAUCUCGUUGCUUUGUUGGAAUCUGAUUUAGUAAAAUCGAACUUAUUGUUUCAGACAAUUGAAUGCGUUUAUGUUUAUUUGUAGGAGUGCACAAUCCUUUUAAAAAUUUAGCAUAAGAAGGAAUGUGUUGGAUUGCAUCAAUCCAAGGAAUACUAAUGGUGACUUGCUUAAAAAUUUCUAAAAUUUUUGUAUCUUGCUCUUUAACCUUAGGCUUAUCAUCCUUUAAAGCUUUAGGAAAAGGGAUUGGAGGGCUGUAUUUUUCCGGAUCAGGUUCUUCCCUCUCCUUUCCUUUAUCCUUACUUUUUGUCGACUUUUGGCCUUUGGUUGUUGCUAGUUCCUCCUGCUCAUUCUCUGAAUUUUCUGCACUCACAAAAUAAGGUUCAGAUAAUAGCUUCCCAUUUCGAAGUUUGGAAAUAGCAUUUAGUGUUUCUUUGUCCUGAUCAUGACAAUCAACUUGAUUGACAUGAUGUUGACCCAAGGCAUUAAUCAAAUUUCGAGGAUUAAUGGAGGGCUGUGUUGGGAAUUGGCCUGCUUCUCUGCUGCUGUUGCCGCUUUCCAGCUGCUUACCAUUUCGCUUCUCGGAUCCAUUUACAUCAGAUUGAUGCCUUCCCUCGAUCUGUAGUUUCAUUCGUUCCAUUUCUUGACGUAGCUUUUGCUGUUCUUGCAGCAUCUGCUUCAGCAGCUCCUGCGUAGACAAAUCAGAUCCACCUGCAUGUGACUGUAAGUGAUGAUUCAAAGGAAAAACAUCUUGAUUCUGAAAAUGUUGCCUUUGAAAUGACAAGUUCUGUGGAUGAGCGAAUGACCCAGCCCGAUCGACAAUUUCCUGAUUUCUUCUCCAACCAUUGGCUUCAUUAGUGCCAAACUGGUUAUUUCUAUAAUUUGCAUUAUAAUUAUUGUUGGGGAAUGUAUUUUGCCCAUGUCCUUGCCAACUAUUACCCGAAAUAAUUUGAUUUGGUUUGAAUUGACCUUGACUACCAUGAUCUGGUCAUAUUUUGGACAAUCAACUUCUACAUGUUCAUAGGUUGAACAUAAAGCACAUGCUGACAUAUCUUGCUCCUGUUUGGGAGGUUGUUGGUCGAAUCCAUUUGCUGCAGAUUUACUCAUCAGUACCUGCACACAUUAGGUCAAUUUAUCUACUUUAUCAAUAAGUAGUCCAGUCUCUAUAUUUUUCACAUCAUGGAUACCUCCUCUUUUGAAUCCUGAAGUUCUACCAUUCUGAUUUAACGCGUAGUGAUGUGCACUAUUUUCUGACAAUGUUUCAAUGAGAUCAAUAGCUUCAUCUUCAUAUUUGUUCAUAAAAGUCCCACCUGAGGAAGCAUCAAUCAUGUGCCUAUCUCUCUCAUUCAAACCUUCAUAAAAAAUCUGCACAAGUUGCCAAUUUUGUAUCCCAUGAUGUGGACACUGGCGGGUGUAAUCCUUAACUCUCUCCCAUGCCUCAUAAAAAGAUUCUUGAGGCCCUUGUACAAAAUCCCUGAUUGCCCUCCUAAUAGAAUUUGUUUUUCCUACUGAAUAAAAUUUCUUAAGGAAUGCUGCUUCCAUAUCAGUCCACGAAUUUAGCUCUUGGAUCAAGGCACGAAACCAGUCCUUAACUUUAUUUUUGAGUGUGAAGGGGAACAAUCUCAUCUUUACUAUCUCAAUGGGAAUGUUAGGAUAAUGCGAAAUCUGACAAACUUGUGAGAAAUCUUCCAAAUGUUUAUAUGGCUCUUCAUGAGCCAUUCCAUGAAAAUGUGGUAACAUUUGGACAAGAUGAUGAUCAACUCUAAAGUUGACAUCAUUUUCUAUAGGGGCAUUGAUUCUAUUCACUGGUUUAUACUGUAAAGGAGCUGAGUGAUCUCUAAGACGCAUUCUUCUGUUUUCCCUUUGGUUUCCUUCCACUUUUGUUUCUCUUUCCAAAGUCACUUCUACUUGUGAUGAUUCUCCCAACUCUUUUGCUGGUGGAAAGACUAUGUCCUUCUGUGAUCUACGUCCUUGCAUUUGCCUACUUCUAGUUUUGCUAAUUCGUUCUACUCUAUGAUAGUCUUAUAUACCUUGAUUAGCAGGACAUGUAUAUAAAAUUCUCAAUGAUCACAAUGAAUAAAAUUUGCAUGAAAAUAUUCAAAAUCAACUAUUUUUAGAAGAUAGAUGUAAUCUUUAGAAAGAAUCUGAAUUAAGAUAUAACAGGAAAUUUUCUUAUAUACUGAUCAUGCACAAGAUUUGGCUAGCUUGGAAUGAUCAUUUCUGUCCUGAUUUCCAAGAUGGCUUCUUUGAUGCUCCAGAAAAAAUUCGAAACUUACUAGACCUUUAAAACAAAAUUCCUAAUAGAAAGAUCUUAGCCACCAAAACUAAAGAAAUGAAUUUUUGCCAAUUAUUCCACAGAUGUGUAGCAAUUAAAAUUGAUCAAAGUUCCGGAAAAAUCAUCUACUGCAGAGAAAACAGGUCAAAAUUUUAAAGUCGAGUUUUGAGAUUUAUACCUGUUUUGAGGCUAAUUUUCUGCUUGAAGUUUUCUUUAUCUCGUCUUCUCACUGUAGCUGUUCCAUGUGACUAUUAAUAUAAGUCGCAACACAAAAUAGAGGUUAGGUAAUUAAUUUCAAAUCUGUUCGUAGAGUAACAUUCGUAAUCAGUCCUGCACAUUAUGUUUCAAGUAUUUGUAAGCACCUGCUAUAACUAUUUUGAGAGAUUCACACCUUUAUCAAGAUAAAGAGAACAAUUAACAUUUCAAAUAUAUUCAGUUUACUAUAUAAAAAUUGUAUGAAAACUUUUAAUGCUCUUAAAAAGAAACUUUUCAUCUUGCGGUUGAUUUUGCUCAAAUAAACCUGCCACAUUCAACAAGGAAAGUUAAAUGACAUGAUUCAGUGGAUAUUGUUCAAGUCAAUUUCCCUUGAUUUCAUAUUAUAUUUUGCUCGAUAUCUCUGCACAAAAUUUGUCAGAGCUCACUUACCUUGUUCCUUAAAAUCUCUCUAAAUAAUUGACUGGUAUCCACGUCACCUUGUCUGCUGCAGAUGAAACUCAAGAAAUAAAAGCACCUUCAUUAAAUCUAGCAUGUUUAAAAUCAUUCAGCACUCAAAGUUCCCUGGCAAUGGCACCAUUUGGUGAGUUCGAUUUUUUUUUCUACAGGUGUCUUUAGACCUUAAUCUCCUCAAUCAAAAAAUAUUAUCAGUUAUGUUUUAAUUGACUUGUGAUAUACUCAUAGAUAGUUGUAAGUUAGGUCGUCUCCACUGGGAAUUUCGAGGCUUACUGUUUAAUACUCAUUCUAAUGAAGGGAGGAGUGUAAAAGGAAAUGAGGUGAGUAUUGGAAAAGGGGAAGAAGAGGGAACUUGGAAUCCAGAUCCGAUUUCUCAUAUUUGGCCGGCGUAAGAACAGUACUCAAUUGUUUAUUGAUUCUACUCCUAAAUAUCGAACUAAAAUCUAAUCUAAGCUAAACAGAACACUUCUCCAUCUCGAAGCUAACCUGGUGUCACCACUUCUUCUUCCUUACUUCCGCCAGGAAGAGGCGUUCACUCAAAGCAGCGGGAGAGACCUCGUUCAGGUGAGAUGAAAAGCACUCCGGCUUGACACACCUGCAUUCGCACGAUGUGGAGCUCGAGAAACCCUAAACCCUCUGGGCUGGCUGAAACGCCGAAGGCUUCCUCAUUCCCAAAAAGCUGUUCGUAACAUCCAUUUUUUCACAUGUAUAAGGCGGCCUUUCCCUCUCCUCUCUCGCUCUCCUCUCGCACUCUCCUCUUGCGUGCGCACGAGAAGCUGCCCGAAGGUU